Molecule: RNA transcript, 2098 nt
Organism: Lycium barbarum (goji berry)
Lineage: Eukaryota; Viridiplantae; Streptophyta; Magnoliopsida; Solanales; Solanaceae
Gene name: nuclear transcription factor Y subunit B-3-like
Exons: 3
Source: RefSeq, a predicted model, not a curated record
CAAGAGAGGAAAACAAGAUAAAAGGUCAGAUAAGGACAAGCAUAUCGAAAACAAGAUGAAAACAAGGAAUAACAAAAAAGAGAAAGUCAUGGUAGAACAGUACGGAAAGAAAGAAGCAUUAACUACUAUAAAUAAAUAAGAUAAUCAAAGUACAACGGCCCCACAAAUAUAAGCAGCAAUAAAAUGCAGAAAUCAAAUGGCAAUAAACAAAUGAGCAGAACUACAACUACUAUGGUGGAAGGAUAAGUCACCUAGCCUUCUAUCCUAAUCUGAGUCCUCCACAACCUCCUAUCUAAGGUCAUGUCCUCGGUGAGCUGAAACUGUGUCAUAUCCUAUCUAAUCACCUCUCCCCAAUACUUCUUCGGCCUCCCUUUGCCUCUCCUGAAACCGUCCAUAGCCAGCCUCUCACACCUCCGCACUGGAGCAUCUGUGUCUCUCCUCUUCACAUGCCCAAACCACCUCAGCCUCGCUUCCCGCAUCUUGUCCUCCACCGAUGCCACUCCCACCUUGUUUCGGAUAUCUUCAUUCCUAAUUCUAUCCCUCCUAGUAUGCCCACGCAUAAUAAAUCAGUGUGAAUUUAUACCAAAAUUUUGGUAUCACCAACCCAUAUAAGUAUGGGAUUAUAUCUUUGUUCUGAACCAAACGACCCCGGAGAGAUGUUAUGGGAUUAUAUCUUUGUUCUGAACCAAAAGGUCCAAGAUAGUUUCUUAAGUUUGGGCUUGAAGCAAAAUCAUUGUUGUUCUCUAGUUUGGAGCACUAGUCAUUUGGAGUCUUUUCAUGUUUAUAGUGUAGGCUAUGCAUAAAUAUACUGUGCUAAAUUAAUCCAAGAUUUCAAGUUCGGGUAAAAAACAAAAACAUGUAAUUAGAUGUGCUUUCCCUUUAAAUAAUCAAAAUAUAAAGUUAAAAAGUUAAUGAUCCACGUAAGCAAUGAUAAAAAUAUGGCCCUAUCCAAACCGACCAUACCCCAUAUAAGAUACAGACGUCCCUGAUCUUUUGGCUAAAUCAACAACCAAUAACAUGCUUCCACGUAUUAACCACUAUGCCAUAAUUUAAUACAAUUUUAAUCCAACGGACCUCAUUAUAUUCCAUCUUAUCCAAUUCUCAUAACUCUCUGCUUCACACUCCACUCUGCUUCUCCAAACACACUGUACUAUCACUUUUUGUGCUGAUCAUCAAGAAAAGCUUAUAUCAAUGGCAGAUUCAGACAAUGAAUCAGGAGGACACAGAGAUAACAGCAAUACUGAAAGUUCACUAAGAGAACAAGACAGGUUCCUACCAAUAGCAAAUGUAAGCAGAAUCAUGAAGAAAGCUUUACCAGCGAACGCGAAAAUAUCGAAAGAUGCUAAAGAGAUAGUUCAAGAAUGUGUUUCUGAAUUCAUAAGUUUUAUCACUGGAGAAGCAUCAGAUAAGUGCCAGAGAGAAAAGAGGAAGACCAUUAAUGGUGAUGAUUUGAUGUGGGCAAUGACAACUCUUGGUUUUGAAGAAUAUAUUGAGCCCCUUAAAGUUUAUUUGCAGAGGUUUAGGGAUCUAGAAGGGCAAAAAAGUGGUAUGGUUGGAGAGAAAGAGAGUAGUGGAUCAGUGAAUAUGGGUGGUAGUUAUGUUGAGGAUUAUGAUAUGGUGAUGAUGGGGGGUCAGCAUCAUCAUCAAGGACACGUGUAUGGUACCGGAGUAUAUGAUCGGACGAAUGAUAAUGUUGCUGGUGUUGGUACUGCAGGGUCUCAGUUUCUUGAUGUUGGGAGACCAAGGUAGUGUUGAUGAAAUAUAAUGACAAUUAUAUGGAGUCAAGACAAUGUGACACGCUGGAUUGCUAACAUGUAUCGAGACUUGAAAGAGCAUUUCUAGUCAAUGACUGUAUCGGUUUGCUUAAACUGUCAACAGCUCAAGUACGGGCGUUACAGCUACUGGAGGACGUAAUCAGACUCAGUAGUACUAUAUUCUACAGACAUGUAAAUUGGUAAAUACGUGUGUACAUUACAAUGAGGUGUAAGCAUGGUAGUUUAACGUGUUGUAAUUGUCUACUCAUAUAGUUUGUCAGUUGACUUUUAACAAAAUAGCUUUGCUAAUGCAAAAACGAUUUAUAUUGUUCACCAUUGAAAAA